CUUUUUGCUUAAGGCUAGCACUCUACCACUUGAGCCACAGCUCCAGUUCUGGCUUUUUCUAUAUAUGUGGUGCAGAGGAAUUGAAGCCAGGGAUUCAUGUACAUGAGGCAAGCACUCUGCCACAAGGCCAUAGUCCCAACCCCUGAUCCUUUAUUUUUAUAGU
This is a long non-coding RNA of Perognathus longimembris pacificus (Pacific pocket mouse), 163 nucleotides long. RefSeq lists it as uncharacterized. The transcript has 3 exons. The record is from RefSeq and is a predicted model, not a curated record. NCBI's taxonomy places the organism in Eukaryota, Metazoa, Chordata, Mammalia, Rodentia, Heteromyidae.